RNAcentral lists this transfer RNA (58 nucleotides) under Myotis daubentonii (Daubenton's bat). Its description in RNAcentral is "partial tRNA-Gln". The record is from RNAcentral. Lineage: Eukaryota; Metazoa; Chordata; Mammalia; Chiroptera; Vespertilionidae.
CGAAGAUUUUUGGAUUCUUAAGAGUAGGUUCGAUUCCUAUGAUUCUAGAAAUAAGGGG